This 497-nucleotide ribosomal RNA is filed under the name uncultured bacterium. RNAcentral's name for it is "partial 16S ribosomal RNA". It matches the Rfam family "Bacterial small subunit ribosomal RNA", at positions 28 to 507 of the family's 1533-position model. The record is from RNAcentral.
GAUGAACGCUGGCGGCGUGCCUAAUACAUGCAAGUCGAGCGAACAGACGAGGAGCUUUCUCCUCUGACGUUAGCGGCGGACGGGUGAGUAACACGUGGAUAACCUACCUAUAAGACUGGGAUAACUUCGGGAAACCGGAGCUAAUACCGGAUAAUAUAUUGAACCGCAUGGUUCAAUAGUUAAAGACGGUUUUGCUGUCACUUAUAGAUGGAUCCGCGCCGCAUUAGCUAGUUGGUAAGGUAACGGCUUACCAAGGCGACGAUGCGUAGCCGACCUGAGAGGGUGAUCGGCCACACUGGAACUGAGACACGGUCCAGACUCCUACGGGAGGCAGCAGUAGGGAAUCUUCCGCAAUGGGCGAAAGCCUGACGGAGCAACGCCGCGUGAGUGAUGAAGGUCUUCGGAUCGUAAAACUCUGUUAUUAGGGAAGAACAAAUGUGUAAGUAACUAUGCACGUCUUGACGGUACCUAAUCAGAAAGCCACGGCUAACUACGUG